GACGAACGCUGGCGGCGUGCUUAACACAUGCAAGUCGAACGGAAAGGCCCCUUUGGGGGUCCUCGAGUGGCGAACGGGUGAGUAACACGUGAGUAACCUGCCCUUGACUUCGGGAUAACUUCAGGAAACUGGGGCUAAUACCGGCUAGGAAUCCUUGCUGCAUGGUGGGGGUUGGAAAGCUUCGGCGGUUUUGGAUGGACUCGCGGCUUAUCAGCUUGUUGGUGGGGUAGUGGCUUACCAAGGCUUUGACGGGUAGCCGGCCUGAGAGGGCGACCGGCCACAUUGGGACUGAGAUACGGCCCAGACUCCUACGGGAGGCAGCAGUGGGGAAUAUUGCACAAUGGGUGGAAGCCUGAUGCAGCAACGCCGCGUGCGGGAUGACGGCCUUCGGGUUGUAAACCGCUUUCAGCAGGGGCGAAGCUUGUGGUGACGGUACCUGCAGAAGAAGCACCGGCUAACUACGUG
This 465-nucleotide ribosomal RNA is filed under the name uncultured bacterium. RNAcentral's name for it is "partial 16S ribosomal RNA". It matches the Rfam family "Bacterial small subunit ribosomal RNA", at positions 28 to 507 of the family's 1533-position model. The record is from RNAcentral.